GAUGAACGCUGGCGGCGUGCCUAAUACAUGCAAGUCGAGCGAACGGACGAGAAGCUUGCUUCUCUGAUGUUAGCGGCGGACGGGUGAGUAACACGUGGAUAACCUACCUAUAAGACUGGGAUAACUUCGGGAAACCGGAGCUAAUACCGGAUAAUAUUUUGAACCGCAUGGUUCAAAAGUGAAAGACGGUCUUGCUGUCACUUAUAGAUGGAUCCGCGCUGCAUUAGCUAGUUGGUAAGGUAACGGCUUACCAAGGCAACGAUGCAUAGCCGACCUGAGAGGGUGAUCGGCCACACUGGAACUGAGACACGGUCCAGACUCCUACGGGAGGCAGCAGUAGGGAAUCUUCCGCAAUGGGCGAAAGCCUGACGGAGCAACGCCGCGUGAGUGAUGAAGGUCUUCGGAUCGUAAAACUCUGUUAUUAGGGAAGAACAUAUGCGUAAGUAACUGUGCACAUCUUGACGGUACCUAAUCAGAAAGCCACGGCUAACUACGU
Molecule: ribosomal RNA, 496 nt
Filed under: uncultured bacterium
Lineage: Bacteria
Description: partial 16S ribosomal RNA
Rfam family: Bacterial small subunit ribosomal RNA
Source: RNAcentral